Molecule: transfer RNA, 54 nt
Filed under: Microstomum lineare
Lineage: Eukaryota; Metazoa; Platyhelminthes; Dolichomicrostomida; Microstomidae
Description: tRNA-Ala
Source: RNAcentral
AAAAAUUUAGUUUAAUAAGAAUAUAAAAUUUGCAUUUUUAAGGUUUAAUUUUUG